Molecule: ribosomal RNA, 858 nt
Filed under: Corallococcus exiguus
Lineage: Bacteria; Pseudomonadati; Myxococcota; Myxococcia; Myxococcales; Myxococcaceae
Description: bacterial SSU rRNA
Rfam family: Bacterial small subunit ribosomal RNA
Source: RNAcentral
UCAUGGCUCAGAACGAACGCUGGCGGCGUGCCUAACACAUGCAAGUCGAGCGCGAAUAGGGGCAACCCUUAGUAGAGCGGCGCACGGGUGCGUAACACGUGGAUAAUCUGCCUGGAUGCCUGGGAUAACCAGUCGAAAGAUUGGCUAAUACCGGAUAAGCCCACGGUUUCUUCGGAGACUGAGGGAAAAGGUGGCCUCUGUAUACAAGCUAUCACAACCAGAUGAGUCCGCGGCCCAUCAGCUAGUUGGCGGGGUAAUGGCCCACCAAGGCAACGACGGGUAGCUGGUCUGAGAGGACGAUCAGCCACACUGGAACUGAGACACGGUCCAGACUCCUACGGGAGGCAGCAGUGGGGAAUUUUGCGCAAUGGGCGAAAGCCUGACGCAGCAACGCCGCGUGUGUGAUGAAGGUCUUUGGAUUGUAAAGCACUUUCGACCGGGACGAAACCGUAAAGCCUAAUACGCUUUGCCUUGACGGUACCGGGAGAAGAAGCACCGGCUAACUCUGUGCCAGCAGCCGCGGUAAUACAGAGGGUGCAAGCGUUGUUCGGAAUUAUUGGGCGUAAAGCGCGUGUAGGCGGCUUUGCAAGUCGGGUGUGAAAGCCCUCAGCUCAACUGAGGAAGUGCGCCCGAAACUGCAGAGCUUGAGUGCCGGAGAGGGUGGCGGAAUUCCCCAAGUAGAGGUGAAAUUCGUAGAUAUGGGGAGGAACACCGGUGGCGAAGGCGGCCACCUGGACGGUAACUGACGCUGAGACGCGAAAGCGUGGGUAGCAAACAGGAUUAGAUACCCUGGUAGUCCACGCCGUAAACGAUGAGAACUAGGUGUCGUGGGAGUUGACCCCCGCGGUGCCGUAGCUA